Long non-coding RNA from Hemicordylus capensis (graceful crag lizard), 3557 nucleotides. RefSeq lists it as uncharacterized. The transcript has 3 exons. The record is from RefSeq and is a predicted model, not a curated record. Lineage: Eukaryota; Metazoa; Chordata; Lepidosauria; Squamata; Cordylidae.
UGCAUGCUCUCUUCUGUGUUUUUAGUUCAGCACAUUCCCUCAAGUCUGCCAAUAUAGGGGACUUUGCUGCUACUGCUAGGAGCUCAAUUCAUCUUGGGGAGCAAAGUCCUUGUAGAAGUAAAGCAUCCAAGCAAAGCAGAAUAUGAAAAGAGGGGUGUGCUUCCUUUGAACCCCAAGCACAUUGCUUGCACUUUGGGGAUUAAAGAUCUGUUGGGGGGCUUUGACUGCCUCUAAGUAUUCAGCUAAAGCAAGGAUCCAAGUUACUUAGCAAAGCAGAAGUGUGAAAGUGGGGAUUGCCUGCUUCUCAGAAACCUUGUCACUUCUGAAUGAAAAUGAGGUGGUAUCAAACCCUAACAAGGAUCCAUAAUCAGCUCUAAUAAAGGUCUACCAUGCCAUUUCCAAGUUUCAUCCCAUUAUGACUUGCAAUAAUAGACAUUUAGACAUUGUGAUGAUUCCCCAUUAUUUCCUAUGGGCCAUAUCAUCUUACAGGAUGAUACACUGACAUAAUAAUGAUGCAUCAAACAAUUUGAUCUAGGCUGGUACAAUUAUCAGAUGAAUUAUUCGUUAAUUGCUUUCAUUGGAUUGGAAUCAAUAAUUUGAUCCAUGCACAGACCUCCUGUUCAUGAGUAAGCAGAGUCUAUAUGUGAGUAUUAAGUUGCAGCUUUUUGCAGGUCUGAACUCUACAUUUGUAAAGAGCAACCACAGAACAUCCCACCUCUUGGAAAGGUUGGUAUGGUGCAUACAAAUCUUGACCAAAGCAGAUGUGUCACAUCGAAACACAUGCUAAAACACAAACAUCUGGUUUUCUUUUAAAUUUAUUUAUGCAUUAAAAAGGUCUUUGAGAAAGUAAACCUUGACAGUCAACCGUUAAAGGUACAAGUCCUAAAAGCAAAAGGUUGAACAAGCACAUUUCCUGCUUAUGUGCCAUUGGCUGACAUGACAAUGAAGCAUUUUUAUUGCACUUUGCUGGUGCAUUCUUAGCUUGUAAGGAGUAAGCCAUGAAAAGUUGUGCUCCUUUGUAAGGCUGGUUUAAAAGGCAAAGUGAAUUAAAAGACGGGGCUCUCUGCUAACUUCUGUUUUGAGAGACCCUUCAUUUACAGGGCCAGCUCAAGGUCUGGGAGGUCCUUGGCAAAGUGCUCUGAGUGGGUCUUCUCCCAUGAUGGUGGGUCCCCUGAAGGUUCAGUACUAUGGUGGUGGCCUGGAGCUGCAAUGUUGUAUGCUUCCCCCAUCCCAAUAUAAUGUUCUUUCCCACCCAAAUGUUGUAUGGCUGUGUCAGGGUAGGGGCAUUGCAUUGUGGAUUUAAGAAACAUGCCAGCUACCAGUGUGGCUGCCAAUGAGAGCUCUGGACCACUGUUCUUGCUGUCAUCUGUCUGUCAAGAUAAACUCCCCCUCAGGUUUGGGGAACCUAUUUUGAUAGUGGGGUGGUUGUAACCAGAGCAUUUCUUAGUUGACACACGGGAAGCCACGGUCUCUCCAGAACUGAAGAUUUUCCUGGAUUCUGGCUCUCCAGUAUUGGCCUGGAAUCUCCAGAAACCAGCAUUGGGUUCCAUGUGACUAUUGGAAGCAAUCUUGGAGAUUUUAAUAGCUUGAAAUUAAGGAAAAAUUGGGAGGGAUCUCUAGGAAUAGCUUUGAUAAGAGUUGGUAACCCUACCAUUGUUUGUACCCAAAUACAAUGCUUGCCUCAACACAGCAUCAAAAUAAAACAGCAUAACGGCUGGUGCAUGACCUUGUGGAUUAAAAACAAAACAAAACAUCAGCUGCAAACAAGAGAAACUCUAGGCCACAGAGCCACAACCGUCCCCAGGAGGUAGCAAGACUGGAGCUCUGAUAGCCACACAGCUACCCAAGGAUGCUGCAUAGUGAUGUCAGAUGCCCUUCCUCUUUGGGCCAUUUCAUACUUUGGGCAAAGGCAAAUCACAGGCAGCUGCAGCAAAUCACAGCGUUUGGAAGAACGUACCUGUAUGAUCCAUGUUUGCACACCUGUAUUUUACUGCAGCCAUACUCUACAUUUUUAGAUGUAUCCUUAAAAAUCACAGGUGUUCACUGAAAGGUGUAAUGUGUGAAGUAGCCUUUUGUCCAACUUCAUUUGAAGUCAGUGUAUAAAAACAUAGCUCAGAUUUUGUCAUUCUUAUUGCAACCCUGUUCUUAUCCAAUGUUCAACAGUAGGUGGCAAUAAUAAUUCACUGUAUGUACAUAGACCUUUUUAGUCAAGCAUCUUUGCCUGCUUGUGAUUAUGGAAAUAAUUAUUUUAUCUGCAUAUUGUAUAGAAAAACCUGGAGAGAGAGAGAAGGAAGGUUGCCAAUAAAGACCUGAUUCUUCAUUCCUUUGAAGUUUAACAUACCAUGUAGUGAGUGCUUUUAACUCCGUGCUAAACACGUUUACCCAGAAGGAGGUCCAAUUGAUUUCCAAAGGACUUGUUUCCAAGAAGCCAAGGGUUCCUCAGAAGCUUAUCAGGGGUACAUCAAAUUGCCAGGAGUUCCUGGAAAACAGCUUGUCCAGCAUUACUGAUAUUCCCUUGCAGUGUACAGGUGCAAGGAAUUAUUGGGUGCCGUCCAGGAUGUGCUGCCAACUUGCAUGGGCAGCAACAAGACCCCACAGGGUUUUGCCAGCAUUGUGCAUGAGCUGAGAAUGUUCCAUUGAAGAGACCCUGGCAUCUGUGGCAGUGUACAGUGUUUCCAAACUGCAGGAGUUCCUUAGCAGAUAAAUCAAUGUGAAAAGAGGUCCCUGAAGGUAGGAAAUAGAAAAAGACUCAUCUAUUAGAAUAGCCAGGCAAAAUAUUUAUGAUUGCUAAAUAAUGAGGGUAAACCCUGUGAAGAGUGGGUUGGGCUUGGCUCCAAGAGGCCUGGAUUCAAGAUCUAGCUCUACUGUAGAAUCGUUGUGUGGCCUUGAGCAUGCCACUCUCCUUCUCAGGGUCAGCUCCCUGUUUUUUAAAAAAUUGGAAUGAUAGAGACCUACUUUAUAAGGUGUUUGUGGAAAUAAUGACUAGUCACAGUCUGAUCUUAUGAUGCAACCCUAUGAUCCUGGCAAAGUAGCCCCCAUGCAGCACAGUUUCUUCCAGCGGGGUUACAUAUGUAUGCCCUGUUCAAACUAUAUUCAGCUGGCAGCACCAUGCCAAUUCAAAGUGGAAACAGCAUAUAAUACAGGAACAACGUGAGAACUUCUACAGCGACCAGAGCAACAGUGCAGGACUUUCAUUGAUCAACAACUCCCCCAGCAACAUCAUCACAGCAAAAGCACCGAUCAACAGCCAGCAUCAUAAUGCCAUUACUUGUUGCUACCAUAUGGCCAGCAGGAGCUCCAGGGGAUCUCUGAGAAGCCUUUCCUAUUUUGCUAACACUACUCACUUGAGAUCUGCCAAAGGGAAGCUAUGUGCCAGCCUCUGUGUGUCAAAGUAUUUUAACAAACUGUACAAACUUGCAGAAAAAUAAUUACAGAUCUAUGUGCCAGAUAAUCCCAAAUUUAAAAAAUCAGUGUUAAAAAAGCUUUAGAUUAAUAGCCUUGCUAAAAACCAAAAUAGAUUUACAAUUGCUUGUUGGAAUGGGAAGUUUCAUGGUAUU